This 259-nucleotide ribosomal RNA is filed under the name uncultured archaeon. Its description in RNAcentral is "partial 16S ribosomal RNA". It matches the Rfam family "Archaeal small subunit ribosomal RNA", at positions 748 to 1008 of the family's 1478-position model. The record is from RNAcentral.
AGGGUGUAAACGCUGCAGACUUGGUGUUGGGAACCCUUCGGGGUGCUCAGUGCCGGAGAGAAGUUGUUAAGUCUGCUACUUGGGAGUACGUCCGCAAGGAUGAAACUUAAAGGAAUUGGCGGGGGAGCACCGCAACGGGAGGAGCGUGCGGUUUAAUUGGAUUCAACGCCGAAAAACUCACCAGCAGCGACUGUUACAUGAAGGCCGAGAUGAAGACUCUGCUAGAUUUUCAGAGAGGUGGUGCAUGGCGUCAGUGACU